UACGUAGGGUGCAAGCGUUAAUCGGAAUUACUGGGCGUAAAGCGUGCGCAGGCGGCUUCGCAAGUCAGACGUGAAAUCCCCGGGCUUAACCUGGGAAUGGCGUUUGAAACUACGGAGCUGGAGUGUGGCAGAGGGAGGUAGGAUUCCACGUGUAGCGGUGAAAUGCGUAGAUAUGUGGAGGAAUACCGAUGGCGAAGGCAGCCUCCUGGGCCAACACUGACGCUCAUGCACGAAAGCGUGGGGAGCAAACAGG
Molecule: ribosomal RNA, 253 nt
Filed under: uncultured bacterium
Lineage: Bacteria
Description: partial 16S ribosomal RNA
Rfam family: Bacterial small subunit ribosomal RNA
Source: RNAcentral